This is a long non-coding RNA of Carassius carassius (crucian carp), 668 nucleotides long. RefSeq lists it as uncharacterized. NCBI's taxonomy places the organism in Eukaryota, Metazoa, Chordata, Actinopteri, Cypriniformes, Cyprinidae. The record is from RefSeq and is a predicted model, not a curated record. The transcript is spliced from 2 exons.
UUUUUGGCUAUUGCUACAAAUAUACCCCAGUGACUUAAGACUGGUUUUGUGCUCCAGGGGUCACAAUGCAUCUCCAAGUAAAUAUUCUUGUUGUUAUCUAUGAGAAAGACCAAUGGACGUUAAGAGUAAGGGUAUUAAUAACCAUUUGUGCUGGUCAGAAUGUAUUUGAAGAAGCACUUCAGAUGUGGUUGUUAUUUGUAAUGCCUUGUUGUAUUAUUAAGUGAGUGUACAUUCAUAAUUGAGGUUGUGAUUGUCAGUAGGUUUGGAUGUGAAUGAGCCAAAUUGGCAAUGUACAUUUUAUUUUAUUUUUCUGUUGCAAUCUGUCAUACUGCUUGCAUACAGAUGGUUUAUUGUGUUUGAAAAGCACGUACUAAUAAGCUUUGAUGACAGAGGUCAGCAGGUUUAGUGAAGUAAUGAAUGCACUGAAUGAAUGUGAUAGCAUUUGUUUUUAUAUCGUCGUUUUCUGUAUUGCAUUUGUAUUUGCUUUCCAAAAUUAUAAACAUAUUGUGUUGCUUUAUCAGAACCCGAUCCUAAAUGAGACAUUUUUGCUGUAUAAAUCUAUGCAAUAGUCUUGUUUGGUUUUAGCCAAGUGCAGUUUUGUAUUCUGUAGGUGUCAUUUGACUUUUUAUGUGCCUUCAAAAAUAAAGGCAUUUAAAAUAUAUAUUAAA